RNAcentral lists this small nucleolar RNA (123 nucleotides) under Myotis davidii. RNAcentral describes it as "Small Cajal body specific RNA 24". It matches the Rfam family "Small Cajal body specific RNA 24". From Rfam's summary of the family: scaRNAs are a specific class of small nuclear RNAs which localise to the Cajal bodies and guide the modification of RNA polymerase II transcribed spliceosomal RNAs U1, U2, U4, U5 and U12. ACA12 belongs to the H/ACA box class of guide RNAs as it has the predicted hairpin-hinge-hairpin-tail structure,the conserved H/ACA-box motifs and is found associated with GAR1. The record is from Rfam by way of RNAcentral. Lineage: Eukaryota; Metazoa; Chordata; Mammalia; Chiroptera; Vespertilionidae.
CCAUUUUAUUCAGUUUCUUCUUAAGGUGAAGAAAAACUCUUUGUAAAUGCCCUAAAGAAAUAUAAUCACUUUCUGUUCCCCUUUUGCAAGUAAAAAGGGUGAAUCGUUCCACUACUGACAAAA